RNAcentral lists this ribosomal RNA (902 nucleotides) under uncultured bacterium. Its description in RNAcentral is "bacterial SSU rRNA". It matches the Rfam family "Bacterial small subunit ribosomal RNA", at positions 33 to 934 of the family's 1533-position model. The record is from RNAcentral.
ACGCUGGCGGCGUGCUUAACACAUGCAAGUCGAACGAAGCUGCUUAAAGGAAGUCUUCGGAUGGAAUUUAGGUAGACUUAGUGGCGGACGGGUGAGUAACGCGUGGAUAACCUGCCUUAUACAGGGGGAUAACGGAGAGAAAUUUCCGCUAAGACCGCAUAAGACCACAGCACCGCAUGGUGCAGGGGUAAAAUAUUUAUAGGUAUAAGAUGGAUCCGCGUCCGAUUAGCUAGUUGGUGAAGUAAAGGCCCACCUAGGCGACGAUCGGUAGCCGGCCUGAGAGGGUGAACGGCCACAUUGGGACUGAGACACGGCCCAAACUCCUACGGGAGGCAACAGUGGGGAAUAUUGGACAAUGGGGGAAACCCUGAUCCAGCGACGCCGCGUGAGUGAAGGAGUAUUUCGGUAUGUAAAGCUCUAUCAGCAGGGAAGAAAAUGACGGUACCUGACUAAGAAGCCCCGGCUAACUACGUGCCAGCAGCCGCGGUAAUACGUAGGGGGCAAGCGUUAUCCGGAUUUACUGGGUGUAAAGGGAGCGCAGACGGCAAUGCAAGUCGGAAGUGAAAGGCGUGGGCUCAACCCAUGAACUGCUUUGGAAACUGUAUAGCUUGAGUGUCGGAGGGGUAAGCGGAAUUCCUAGUGUAGCGGUGAAAUGCGUAGAUAUUAGGAGGAACACCGGAGGCGAAGGCGGCUUACUGGACGACAACUGACGUUGAGGCUCGAAGGCGUGGGGAGCAAACAGGAUUAGAUACCCUGGUAGUCCACGCAGUAAACGAUGAAUACUUGGUGUCGGGGAGGUAAACUCUUCGGUGCCGCAAGCUAACGCAUUAAGUAUUCCACCUGGGGAGUACGUUCGCAAGAAUGAACUCAAGGGAAUUUGACGGGGACCCGCACAAGCGGUG